Molecule: ribosomal RNA, 459 nt
Filed under: uncultured bacterium
Lineage: Bacteria
Description: partial 16S ribosomal RNA
Rfam family: Bacterial small subunit ribosomal RNA
Source: RNAcentral
CCUACGGGAGGCAGCAGUGAGGAAUAUUGGUCAAUGGUCGGGAGACUGAACCAGCCAAGCCGCGUGAGGGAUGAAGGUACAGAGUAUCGUAAACCUCUUUUGUCAGGGAACAAAGGCGGGGACGUGUCCCCGGAUGAGUGUACCUGAAGAAAAAGCAUCGGCUAACUCCGUGCCAGCAGCCGCGGUAAUACGGAGGAUGCGAGCGUUAUCCGGAUUUAUUGGGUUUAAAGGGUGCGCAGGCGGUCUGUUAAGUCAGCGGUAAAAGCCCGGGGAUCAACCCCGGCCCGCCGUUGAAACUGGCAGUCUCGAGUUGGAGAGAAGUAUGCGGAAUGCGCGGUGUAGCGGUGAAAUGCAUAGAUAUCGCGCAGAACUCCGAUUGCGAAGGCAGCAUGCCGGCUCCACACUGACGCUGAGGCACGAAAGCGUGGGUAUCGAACAGGAUUAGAUACCCUUGUAGUC